Molecule: transfer RNA, 70 nt
Filed under: Correlophus ciliatus (crested gecko)
Lineage: Eukaryota; Metazoa; Chordata; Lepidosauria; Squamata; Diplodactylidae
Description: tRNA-Asp
Source: RNAcentral
AAGACUCUAGUAAAUACAUAACAUGGCCCCGUCAGAGCCAAAUAACAGGAACUCGCCCCUGUGAGACUUA